This 964-nucleotide ribosomal RNA is filed under the name human gut metagenome. RNAcentral describes it as "bacterial LSU rRNA". It matches the Rfam family "Bacterial large subunit ribosomal RNA", at positions 1945 to 2925 of the family's 2925-position model. The record is from RNAcentral.
ACGGUCCUAAGGUAGCGAAAUUCCUUGUCGGGUAAGUUCCGACCCGCACGAAAGGUGUAACGAUUUGGGCACUGUCUCAACAAAGGAUCCGGUGAAAUUGUAGUAGUCGUGAAGAUGCGACUUACCCACGCUAGGACGGAAAGACCCCGUGGAGCUUUACUGUAGGCUGAUAUUGGACUUUGAGAUUAGACGUACAGGAUAGUUGGGAGACAAUGAAACACGCACGCCAGUGUAUGUGGAGUCAUCCUUGGGAUACCAACCCUCUAAUAUUAAAGUUCUAACGAUGACCCUUGAAUCAGGGCAUCGGACAUUGUCAGUUGGGCAGUUUGACUGGGGCGGUCGCCUCCCAAAAAGUAACGGAGGCGUUCAAAGGUUCGCUCAGAAUGGACGGAAACCAUUCGCAGAGUACAAAGGCAGAAGCGAGCUUAACUGCAAAACCUACAAGUUGCGCAGAGUAGAAAUACGGACUUAGUGAUCCGGUGGCACCGCAUGGAAGGGCCAUCGCUCAACGGAUAAAAGCUACCCCGGGGAUAACAGGCUUAUCUCCCCCAAGAGUCCACAUCGACGGGGAGGUUUGGCACCUCGAUGUCGGCUCGUCUCAUCCUGGGGCUGAAGUAGGUCCCAAGGGUUGGGCUGUUCGCCCAUUAAAGAGGCACGCGAGCUGGGUUCAGAACGUCGUGAGACAGUUCGGUCCCUAUCCAGCGUGGGCGUAAGAAAUUUGAGAGGAUCUGUCCCUAGUACGAGAGGACCGGGAUGGACACACCUCUGGUGUACCAGUUGUUCCGCCAGGAGCAUAGCUGGGUAGCUACGUGUGGAAUUGAUAAGUACUGAAAGCAUCUAAGUACGAAGCAGGCCUCAAGAUAAGAUUUCUCAGAGUAGGUAAAGAAAAUACCUUUGAUAGGUCCAAGGUGUAAGUGCAGUAAUGUAUUAAGCUAAUGGAUACUAAACUUUAUGUCUUGACUGG